UUAAGGUUGACCUCGGAUCAGGUAGGAAUACCCGCUGAACUUAAGCAUAUCAAUAA
RNAcentral lists this ribosomal RNA (56 nucleotides) under Sarcinomyces sp. SL0235. RNAcentral describes it as "partial 28S ribosomal RNA". The record is from RNAcentral. Lineage: Eukaryota; Fungi; Ascomycota; Eurotiomycetes; Chaetothyriales.